This 640-nucleotide long non-coding RNA is filed under the name Homo sapiens (human). Its description in RNAcentral is "HSALNT0307175". Lineage: Eukaryota; Metazoa; Chordata; Mammalia; Primates; Hominidae. The record is from RNAcentral.
GGCUGCCUGAACAAUAGAAGGCUGCUUAAGUGAUGGUAUGUGACAUCCAACACUGGGUCAUAAAAGACAUUGCAGCUUCUGGCUUGUUCUCUUGCAUCACUUGCCCAAGGGAAAGCUGUCUGCCACACUGAAGGACACUCGCAGCUCUAUGAAGAGGCCCUAUGAAGAGGCCCACAUGGAGAGGAGCUGAAACUUCCCACCAACAGCCCAUGCCAACUGGUCAGCUAUAUGAGUGAACCACCUGGGAAUCAGAGCUCCCAGCCCCAGUCAAGCCUUCAGAUGACCGCAGCCCAGCUGACAUAUGACUGCAACCAUAUAAGAGUCCCCGACACAGGACUAUCCAGCCAAGUUGCUCUGAACUCCUGACCCAAAGAAACCAUGAGAGAAAUAGUUCUCUCCUUCCUGUAGCUUUUGGCUAUCAGCUUCAUUUCAUCUAGAUCACAAACAGAACUUUGGCAAAUAGAGACAACAGGGCAACAGCGUGAUGGAGACGAGUGGGCAAGUAGAAAACAGAAGGUUCUUUAGGAAGUCAGGCAUAUGUUUCAGUAGCCUGUGAACCAGCUCUUGUUCUUUAUCGUGGACAUGAUCCCUGGAAAUUGUAAACAACAUAAAGAAAACUGACCCGAUGCAGACAUAGCCC